Molecule: ribosomal RNA, 292 nt
Filed under: uncultured bacterium
Lineage: Bacteria
Description: partial 16S ribosomal RNA
Rfam family: Bacterial small subunit ribosomal RNA
Source: RNAcentral
GUGUCAGCAGCCGCGGUAAGACGAACCGUGCGAACGUUGUUCGGAAUCACUGGGCUUAAAGGGCGCGUAGGCGGGCGCACAAGUCAGGGGUGAAAUCCCACGGCUCAACCGUGGAAGUGCCUUUGAUACUGUGGGCCUUGAGGGAGGUAGGGGCGUGCGGAACUUCCGGUGGAGCGGUGAAAUGCGUAGAUAUCGGAAGGAACACCGGUGGCGAAAGCGGCGCGCUGGACCUCUACUGACGCUGAGGCGCGAAAGCCAGGGGAGCAAACGGGAUUAGAUACCCCGGUAGUCC